Dermacentor albipictus is the source of this 860-nucleotide long non-coding RNA. RefSeq lists it as uncharacterized. The record is from RefSeq and is a predicted model, not a curated record. NCBI's taxonomy places the organism in Eukaryota, Metazoa, Arthropoda, Arachnida, Ixodida, Ixodidae.
GGCCUGCAGCCAAGGGAGAUCGUGUAUCAGCCAUCUCGCGUUGCCACGAAAACACGACAGUCGUUCGUCACGCCUUGGAUAUAACAACAAAUCCUCCACGGCACCCGAUUUAUAUAACGCAAGAAAGCAGCUGCAAGGACACGAGGAUGUGAAAAAGCCAGUGCAGCGCGACUUCACCCAGUGCAGAGGAGCCAAUGCCAAAAAAUCAAAACACAUUGGCAUGCAAUUUGGACAAGAAAACUAGGACAACCCAGGACGUGCAUUUCUCAGCACCCAGUCAACUGCCAGAAGUGACUCGAACACAGGCCACCAGUGGCACUCGGCUGUACCACUGCAGUGCUGUGGAAAUUGCCAGCACCAGCGGCUUUGCAACAGCUGUUUAACAGCAUGUCGGAGACAAUGCCUACGAAAUUAUUGGCCCUGAUGACGAGAGCCCUCAAGGGGCAAGCGACAUCUCUGUUGCAGAAGUGAGCCCGAUACCACAUGAAGUUACCAUGACAGGUGGCACGGCAGCAAUAGAUACAGAGACGGCCAUGUCUACUGCAGCUGCAACAGUGUACGAGGCAAGCAGCAGUGUGUCAGCAUCAGCAGCAGUGUCAGAAGGAACCGCACCAGGCCUGGUAGAGCAACAUGUGUGCUAUCACUGUGACUUUUUUGUAGUGCAUACAACUCAUUUGCUCAACAUAGAAAAGCUUUUCACCACGACUGUGAGCCAGUGUUCUUGUGCAGCAAGUGCAAGACUAAGUUAAGUGUUAUAACACAGUACAAACAUCACUGUAAGAUAUGAAAACAUAUUACAGUUGUUGCCUCCCCAGCCAGCCCACAUAGCGACAACAAUGUGGAACACAUGGUGGGACACC